RNAcentral lists this unclassified non-coding RNA (1715 nucleotides) under Hevea brasiliensis (rubber tree). The record is from RNAcentral. Lineage: Eukaryota; Viridiplantae; Streptophyta; Magnoliopsida; Malpighiales; Euphorbiaceae.
UUGCCAUAAAAUCUUUUAUUUCUGUUCUUGAUUUAAUCAGUUGUAUCACAUUUAGAAAUCUAUAAAAAUAAAGAAAUAAACAAACUCAAAAGGAUUGAAACAAUGGGCUACUUGGCAGAUAUCACUCCAAGUCCUGCAUGAUUGGCUAAGCCAUUGCUAAAGUUCUCUAGGUUGAAACAUUGGGGGUACUAGAAUGUUUGAUGUUUCUAAAACAUUGUUAAUAACAUCCUAUCCGAGAUACAAGAUUGCAGGCGAGAAGCAAAUCCAAAGCAUGCAAUAAUUUCCCUUUCAUGCAAUAAUCUUGGGACAAAUGAGGCUGGUGCUUCGAGAUGACACUGAUGAGGCCAACCACAAUCCUAAUCUAGAAAAGUGCCCAUGAAUAUUGCUGCUGCAAGCACAGACAUGCACUACGCAACUUCUUAGUAUACUUGCAGAGAUUGGCUUCUUAGCAUGAAUCUUACAGACUUACACUGAAACAAAAUAUAUCAGCAGCAUAACAAACUUAGACAGGAUAGCAACCAUAAACACCCCAUAAUAUAAUAGUUACAAUCGGCAUGGUUAUAAUAUUCGACCUGUUGCUGUUAUAAAAUAAAAAAAGGAAUGUUUAGUUGUGUAGGUUGCAAAAGUUUUCUCUGGAUGAUAAUUGAACUUUCUUGUUCACAUUCCAAGAGUUUCCCUAUCAUUCUCAACAAAUUUGAAACACAACGAUGAUUCAUCACAACAGUUUUCUAGCGGAGAAGAUGUUGAAUUGCAGCAACAGCAUCACCUUUAUGCUCCCUCAAGGUUCUCUCUGCAACCUUCUUGUCCAACUGUUUUGCACAUCAAAGAAAGGAAACUGUUAGUAGCCACAGGAUGAAAUUACAAAUGUUCCUAACGACUGAAAAGUAACCUCUAGUUCAUUGGCAAUUAUGUCAACAUCAGCAGCAUUGAUCUUAACAGCAGCCAAUUCUUUCUCCCUGUAAAAGACAGCAUUUGCAUGAAAAAUAUGUAUACAUGAAAGGCACAUAGAGAAAAAAUAUUGAGACAAAUCAAAGUAUGGGAAUGAAUUUCAAAGAAAAUGUUCAUGCUUCAGUCCCCUCAGACACCAAUUUGCAACUUGACAAGGUUAGAUAUAAGAUGAUAAAUGAUUUGAAAAUUCACAUCUAGUCCUAAAUUCUUGCUACUUAAAGAUAUUUCCGAUGACAAAACAAAGAGAGAACAAAAGCAUAUGGAUGACUACUUCCAGAAAAGUGUGCAAAAAUAAAAGGGAAUACUUAUUCACAUGCUAUUUCAAAUAAAUAUUGUGACAUAGAGUUGAACAUUACACAUGAAUUAUGUUUCCACAUUUUAUCUGGCAUUGUCAAACUGUGACAAGCUUAUCAAAGGCCAGAGGCAUUCAACUACCUAUCUUUCACUAUCACUCCAUUGUAACAUGCAAACUGUAAAGAUAUCUCUUCCAUACCAUUUGACAAAGAUUUGUUUUCUAAACACACUUCAACUACCUAUCUUUCACUAUCACUCCAUUGUAACAUGCAAACUGUAAAGAUAUCUCUUCCAUACCAUUUGACAAAGAUUUGUUUUCUAAACACACUUCAACUACCUAUCUUUCACUAUCUAUUGAAAAUUGCCAAAGUUAUGAGUUUUCAAUCCAUUGAUUGUUCUGUUUUAUUCAAAACUGUUCUUUCAAACAUGAAUCCCUAUCAUAUCCAACAGAGUAAGCCAAGCGUAAAGAACAU